This 315-nucleotide unclassified non-coding RNA is filed under the name plant metagenome. RNAcentral's name for it is "partial contains 5.8S ribosomal RNA, internal transcribed spacer 2, and large subunit ribosomal RNA". The stretch from base 1 to 105 matches the Rfam family "5.8S ribosomal RNA", at positions 50 to 154 of the family's 154-position model. The record is from RNAcentral.
GAACUGCGAUAAGUAAUGUGAAUUGCAGAAUUCAGUGAAUCAUCGAGUCUUUGAACGCACAUUGCGCCCCCUGGCAUUCCGGGGGGCAUGCCUGUCCGAGCGUCAUUUCUGCCCUUCAAGCCCGGCUUGUGUGUUGGGUCGUCGUCCCCUCCGGGGGACGGGCCCGAAAGGCAGCGGCGGCACCGCGUCCGGUCCUCGAGCGUAUGGGGCUUUGUCACCCGCUCGAUAAGGACCGGCCGGGCGCCAGCCGGCGUCUCCAACCUUUUUUUCUCAGGUUGACCUCGGAUCAGGUAGGGAUACCCGCUGAACUUAAGC